RNAcentral lists this ribosomal RNA (428 nucleotides) under uncultured bacterium. Its description in RNAcentral is "bacterial SSU rRNA". It matches the Rfam family "Bacterial small subunit ribosomal RNA", at positions 355 to 774 of the family's 1533-position model. The record is from RNAcentral.
UGGGGAAUAUUGCGCAAUGGGGGAAACCCUGACGCAGCGACGCCGUGUGAGGGAAGAAGGCUUUCGGGUCGUAAACCUCUGUCAGGAAGGAGGAACCUCUCAAGGCUGAACAAGCCUUGGGACUGACGGUACUUCCAGAGGAAGCACCGGCUAACUCCGUGCCAGCAGCCGCGGUAAUGCGGAGGGUGCAAGCGUUAAUCGGAAUCACUGGGCGUAAAGCGCGCGUAGGCCGUGUUUUAAGUCGGACGUGAAAGCCCUAGGCUAAACCGGGGAACUGCGUUCGAUACUGGGAAACGUGAGUCCUGGAUAGGGUGGAGGAAUUCCGGGUGUAGGUGUGAAAUCCGUAGAUAUCCGGAGGAACACCGGUGGCGAAGGCGGCCACCUGUGCAGGUACUGACGCUGAGGCGCGAAAGCGUGGGGAGCAAACA